UGGCCCAUGUCUUUGGAGGAUAGG
Molecule: non-coding RNA, 24 nt
Filed under: Arabidopsis thaliana (thale cress)
Lineage: Eukaryota; Viridiplantae; Streptophyta; Magnoliopsida; Brassicales; Brassicaceae
Source: RNAcentral